GAAAGGCGCGCGAUACAGGGUGACAGCCCCGUACACAAAAAUGCACAUGCUGUGAGCUCGAUGAGUAGGGCGGGACACGUGGUAUCCUGUCUGAAUAUGGGGGGACCAUCCUCCAAGGCUAAAUACUCCUGACUGACCGAUAGUGAACCAGUACCGUGAGGGAAAGGCGAAAAGAACCCCGGCGAGGGGAGUGAAAAAGAACCUGAAACCGUGUACGUACAAGCAGUGGGAGCCUCUUUAUGGGGUGACUGCGUACCUUUUGUAUAAUGGGUCAGCGACUUAUAUUCUGUAGCAAGGUUAACCGAAUAGGGGAGCCGAAGGGAAACCGAGUCUUAACUGGGCGUUAAGUUGCAGGGUAUAGACCCGAAACCCGGUGAUCUAGCCAUGGGCAGGUUGAAGGUUGGGUAACACUAACUGGAGGACCGAACCGACUAAUGUUGAAAAAUUAGCGGAUGACUUGUGGCUGGGGGUGAAAGGCCAAUCAAACCGGGAGAUAGCUGGUUCUCCCCGAAAGCUAUUUAGGUAGCGCCUCGUGAAUUCAUCUCCGGGGGUAGAGCACUGUUUCGGCAAGGGGGUCAUCCCGACUUACCAACCCGAUGCAAACUGCGAAUACCGGAGAAUGUUAUCACGGGAGACACACGGCGGGUGCUAACGUCCGUCGUGAAGAGGGAAACAACCCAGACCGCCAGCUAAGGUCCCAAAGUCAUGGUUAAGUGGGAAACGAUGUGGGAAGGCCCAGACAGCCAGGAUGUUGGCUUAGAAGCAGCCAUCAUUUAAAGAAAGCGUAAUAGCUCACUGGUCGAGUCGGCCUGCGCGGAAGAUGUAACGGGGCUAAACCAUG
Molecule: ribosomal RNA, 841 nt
Filed under: Escherichia fergusonii
Lineage: Bacteria; Pseudomonadati; Pseudomonadota; Gammaproteobacteria; Enterobacterales; Enterobacteriaceae
Description: partial 23S ribosomal RNA
Rfam family: Bacterial large subunit ribosomal RNA
Source: RNAcentral